AAGUUUUUUGUCACUUUGUAAGUGUUCAAUUUUAUGGAAUUGGGAAAGAAGUACCGAGUUUGAAGCGUUCAUGAGCAGACAUUGCAGUUUUGAAUUUGAUUAUUGAUGAAUAAUAAAAUAAAUCCUACUAGCUCGAUUGAUGGUUUCAUUUAAUUUAUUUAAACCAGGUUACCUAUAAUAUAAUCUUUUUUCGUUAAUUUAUGAAAAUAUCAAAUUAGCCCGUAAUUUCUGAAUCCUGACACAUAAAGUUAGCCUAUUAAUUUAACACAGGUACGACUGUACUCAGUGUUGCACUAUCAAAUGCAAUUGACGCGCCUCUAUGCCAGGGUUUUUAUGUUCCUGUAGGCCUAAGAUGCGCGCAUCGACAAUGACAUGAUAUGAUAAGACAAUUUUCGAUCACGUAGAUAAUUUUAUCAUUUUCCCUAACAUGGGACCAUCGAUAGAAAAGUCUAUCGACCGCUAUCGCGUGAUAACCGAAUUGUUGCCAUAUUAAGAAAAAAUUGCGUUAUUAUGUUGGCCAACCUUGAAAUAUUUUAGCUCAUUCGUUCAAUCUCGUUCAUUUCUGCUACUAAUUCGGCUAAAAACACAUAUCUUAGAGCAGUGAGAACGUCAUUAAAAAAAAGUUAUGUCAAUUUUGUUGACAUUACAUGACUGCUUGAUUGUAUUUGUUUGUGUUUUUAAAAUUGUAUUUUUAUGUUUCCAGUCUUAUUUUUAAUAUUUCUAAAGUACGGAAAAUAUCAAACGAAGAGAUAACCAAGUUAAAGAAAAACAAUGAAGAAUUCCUAAUCAUACCGAUAGUAUUAAAGAAUGAAGUCUUCAAAAUUAACAGAAUAACCGAACUCCACUACGUACCCCAUAAUGCGAGGUUUACAGUAAUUAUUCAACUUACAUGAAGCAGUCAGAAAGUUUAUUGAGAUUUGAGAAAUAAAGUUACACUCAUAAUUAGCAAAACAGUGGAUGAAGAAGUGUGGGAUUAUGAGUGAUUAUUUCAUUCUAAAGCAGACAUAAUCAAGUCUUGCUCACUAUCAUGAAAAUUUACAAUAACAAUCAGCAAGAAAAACUUCAAGGGUACUGGCUAGGCUAACCAAUUCAUGGAAUUCUGUUUGUAUUUGAAAUUAUAAAUAGCUAUUGUAAAACAAAAGUUUUCCAAAUAAAGAUUUUGUAAAUAA
This is a long non-coding RNA of Ostrinia nubilalis (European corn borer), 1169 nucleotides long. RefSeq lists it as uncharacterized. The record is from RefSeq and is a predicted model, not a curated record. The transcript is spliced from 2 exons. NCBI's taxonomy places the organism in Eukaryota, Metazoa, Arthropoda, Insecta, Lepidoptera, Crambidae.